This 321-nucleotide long non-coding RNA is filed under the name Salvia miltiorrhiza (redroot sage). Its description in RNAcentral is "long non-coding RNA (SMIL_LNC012777)". The record is from RNAcentral. Lineage: Eukaryota; Viridiplantae; Streptophyta; Magnoliopsida; Lamiales; Lamiaceae.
GAAAAAUCAAGGAUUAAUUGGAGGAUUUUGAAGAUAUUAGAUUGAAGUACGUCUCGAUAGGAAUCCGUGAGCGCAAACGGCGACCAAAUCCGAGUCCGGACGAGGGAGAACGGAGCAAAACGAGCGGACUGUGCAAAACGCCCAGUACCCCGCAGUCACCACCCGCGGCCGCGGGGUGGGACCGCGGGUCAGCUGUUCCCAACUCCAGGAGUCACCCGCGGUCACCACCCGCGGCCGCGGGGCGGGACCGCGGGUCCCCUGAGCAUCCCCCACGUUUGAAGGCCGCGGACGCGGGCCGUGACCGCGGGAAAAGGGCGGAGC